UACGUAGGGUGCGAGCGUUGUCCGGAAUUAUUGGGCGUAAAGAGCUCGUAGGCGGUUUGUCGCGUCGGCCGUGAAAACUUGGGGCUUAACUCCAAGCUUGCGGUCGAUACGGGCAGACUUGAGUUCGGCAGGGGAGACUGGAAUUCCUGGUGUAGCGGUGAAAUGCGCAGAUAUCAGGAGGAACACCGGUGGCGAAGGCGGGUCCUGCUGGCCGAUACUGACGCUGAGGAAGCGAAAGGCGUGGGGAGCGAACGGG
Molecule: ribosomal RNA, 256 nt
Filed under: uncultured bacterium
Lineage: Bacteria
Description: partial 16S ribosomal RNA
Rfam family: Bacterial small subunit ribosomal RNA
Source: RNAcentral